RNAcentral lists this ribosomal RNA (253 nucleotides) under uncultured bacterium. RNAcentral describes it as "partial 16S ribosomal RNA". It matches the Rfam family "Bacterial small subunit ribosomal RNA", at positions 524 to 776 of the family's 1533-position model. The record is from RNAcentral.
UACGUAUGGUGCAAGCGUUAUUCGGAUUUAUUGGGCGUAAAGGGUCCGUAGGUGGUUUGUUAAGUCAGGUGUGAAAUCCUACAGCUCAACUGUAGAACUGCACUUGAAACUGACGAACUUGAGUAUUGGAGAGGUAAGUGGAAUUCCAGGUGUAGCGGUGGAAUGCGUAGAUAUCUGGAGGAACACCAAAAGCGAAGGCAGCUUACUGGACAAUUACUGACACUGAGGGACGAAGGCGUGGGUAGCGAAAAGG